AUUGAACGCUGGCGGCAGGCUUAACACAUGCAAGUCGAACGAUGAAACUCUAGCUUGCUAGAGAUGAUUAGUGGCGGACGGGUGAGUAACAUUUAGGAAUCUGCCUAGUAGUGGGGGAUAGCUCGGGGAAACUCGAAUUAAUACCGCUUACGACCUACGGGUGAAAGGGGGCGCAAGCUCUUGCUAUUAGAUGAGCCUAAAUCAGAUUAGCUAGUUGGUGGGGUAAAGGCCCACCAAGGCGACGAUCUGUAACUGGUCUGAGAGGAUGAUCAGUCACACCGGAACUGAGACACGGUCCGGACUCCUACGGGAGGCAGCAGUGGGGAAUAUUGGACAAUGGGGGCAACCCUGAUCCAGCCAUGCCGCGUGUGUGAAGAAGGCCUUUUGGUUGUAAAGCACUUUAAGCAGGGAGGAGAGGCUAAUGGUUAAUACCCAUUAGAUUAGACGUUACCUGCAGAAUAAGCACCGGCUAACUCUGUG
Molecule: ribosomal RNA, 480 nt
Filed under: uncultured bacterium
Lineage: Bacteria
Description: partial 16S ribosomal RNA
Rfam family: Bacterial small subunit ribosomal RNA
Source: RNAcentral